This 252-nucleotide ribosomal RNA is filed under the name Triticum aestivum (bread wheat). RNAcentral's name for it is "partial small subunit ribosomal RNA". The record is from RNAcentral. Lineage: Eukaryota; Viridiplantae; Streptophyta; Magnoliopsida; Poales; Poaceae.
AUGAGCAACGCCACGGCGAUCAACGAGAAGGUGCUCGGGGAGUGCCUCAACGAGAUCUCCGGCGCGCUCUUGCAGUCCGACGUCCAGAAGAUCGUCAACCUCGAGACCCUCGUCGCCGGCACCAACAAGCGGCGCAUCAUACAGCAGGCCGCCUUCAGGGAGCUCUGCAACAUGCUGGAUCCAGGGAAGCCGGUCUUCAACCCCAAGAAGGGAAAGCCCAGCGUCGUCAUGUUCGUUGGAUUGCAGGGCUAG